UUAAUUGAAGCCAAAAAGCGGCAUAUUACUGUUAAUGAUAUUAUUGAAUAAUAAUUCCAAUUAAG
This 65-nucleotide transfer RNA is filed under the name Simuliidae sp. Cyprus 2. Its description in RNAcentral is "tRNA-Asn". The record is from RNAcentral. Lineage: Eukaryota; Metazoa; Arthropoda; Insecta; Diptera; Simuliidae.